Long non-coding RNA from Cervus elaphus (red deer), 8482 nucleotides. RefSeq lists it as uncharacterized. The transcript has 2 exons. NCBI's taxonomy places the organism in Eukaryota, Metazoa, Chordata, Mammalia, Artiodactyla, Cervidae. The record is from RefSeq and is a predicted model, not a curated record.
UACUGAAGUGGGUUGCAUUUCCUUCUCCAUGGGAUCUUCCCGACCCAGGGAUAGAACUCACAUUUUCUGCAUUGGCAUAUAGAUUCUUUUCCUCUGAGCCACCAGGGAAGCCCCUCAUUAUUUUAGUGUCUUCUAAAGGCCACACCUAUUAUGAUGCAUCAGUGUCAUUCUGGAAUGUUAGAUAGACAGUUGAGCCCCGUAGUCCAUCAAGUGAAACCCCAUUACUGUUGGUUGGAUGAAAAACUCAGACCUUUUAUUAAAAUUUGGUGGCUGAAUAUAUUUUAACUCCUGCAUUGUUUAAGGAGUAUAAAUGUGAGUACCCAUGCCCUUCCUUUGGCUUUUCUGGCCAGAUCUUGGCCAUUAAAAAAAUAAUGGUGAUGACAACAAAAGCAAUUCAUGCCAUACUUUCUGUAAGUUUCUUUGCUGUUGGCAAAGCAAAGUGUGUAGUCAUCUCUAAUGAUGUAUAUACCACCUAAGGCUUACUCCAGUGAUAAAUAAGACUCACUCUGUGUCCUGUGCUUUUCUAAAGGGUUUUUAAAAUCUAGAUGCUCAAGCUCCACUCUGGAGUUCCUACUUCUAGAUAAGAGCCUAGAAAUCUGAUUUGGGGAAAAUACUCUCUUUCUGAUGCCAAGUCAGUCCAGGAAUCCUUGCUCACUCCACUCUGGAGUAUGGGCCAUCUCCACAUCAGGAUGUGGACUUUCAGCCAUGAUGCUCCUACACAGACUGUCUCUUCAGUCUGAAAUGCUCUUUGAUCUUUCCUUAAGAAACAUAAUAUUAAUCAUCAGCUCUGCUGGAGUACCAUGCCUACUGUCAGACCCAUGUUCCUUCUUGGAAACACUUCCAAAAAAAAAAUUACUUAUUUGUUUGGCUGCCUUGGGUCUUAGUUGUUAGAAGGAUGCUUGUUGCAUCAUGCAGGAUCUCUCACUGUGGCUCUCGGGCUGCAGUAGUUGCAGCGCAGACUUAGUUGCUCCAGGACGUGCGGGACCUUAGUUCACCUACCAGGGAUGGAACCUGUGUCCCCUGCAUUGCAAGGCGGAUUCUUAAACACUAGACCCCCGGGGAAGUCCUGGAAACACUCGACUUUUGAUGAGAUUGGGAAAAAUGAACAUUAUUUGAAAGAUUUUUCUCUCCUUGCUCAUAGUAAGCGCCACAGUUUGCAACUGUACAUGCAAAUGUCCAUAAAAUGAAAUUGUAGCUACACAUAAGAUGUGUAGCUAUAGUUUUUCUUUUCUUUUCUUGGGUGAUUGAUUACAAAUGGUAGGUUUUUAUUGACAUACUGAAUAGUGGCAUUUUGUAGGGUAGACUGCUGUAUUUCUUUCUUAAUUUUUUUCUCCUUUUAAGGCCCUGAAAUAAAGGGAAGGUUGAAAAGUCAGUUUCUGAAUUUUGCUACAUAAAAUUUUCUAAGAGAUAGAUAGAUAUACAUUUAAAUUUUAAUUUUUUCCCCUAAAUGAUGGUAACUUCAGUGUACAUCUUGUAGUCCAUAGCAGAGUCAGUGUUAAAGACCAUUAGAUAUUUGACUGAUGCAUUUUCUAAAUGAGGUACAGCUAAUAAAAUCCUCAAAAGAUAAAAAAAAAUAAUAAUAAAGACCAUUAGAGUUAAUUAGAGCAUUUGAUAAUAAGACUUCAGUAAUAUGCACGGACAAGCUUAUGACUUUGGUGAAAGGCAUGGUGUAUAGAUAAGAGAAAGUUUUCUUAAUGAUUAAAGUAGUAAUAGGUUUUUGCAGCUUUGGGAUAACAUAGUACUAAAAGAACAUUGAAUUAUAUAGGGCAAUUUGUUUUUUAAAUAAGUUUCAUUUAAUGUAGUGGCCUGAUCUGAGCGUUAAAGUGAGUAGGAGCCUUUGACAAUAGGUAAAGUACAGCAUUGCUAGUGUUCAGCGUUAAACAUUUAUUUCUUUAGGUGAGGCGGCAAUUUCUGGUAACAUGUCUUUGUAAGGUGUCACUUCUCACAGACUUUUUUAACCUGCCUUCAAUCAAAGUAAUGCUAUUUGAUGUAUAAAUUGUUUUUAAAAGUAGACCUCUUUUUUUCUGCUUUUAUGAUAGAAAUUCUAAGCAGAAAAUGAAAGCAGGAUCCACCCCUAAUUAUCAUUUUCAAAAUUUCAUUCUUUUGAUAUGAAAGGUUUCAUUUACUUUUCCCUUAAAAAAGAAGAAGUAAGCUCUGGACCAUUCUGUUUUGAAUAAGACAUUCUCUGUAUUUUUCUGUUCCAAAUAUGUAAAAUAAAUACCAGUUUUUAAAAUUAUUUUUUUACAUGUCUAGGAAUAAGAUUUUCUAGUCACAUGCUAGAAAAUGAAAGGACCUUUACUGUAAAAUGUGAUAAUGUAAAGUUUGAGAGGGAAAUGAAGACUAAACAACCAUUCAGGAGACCAGCAGAAUUCAAUGUCAAAAAAGGAGGCAGUUGUUACCUUAAUCAUUUCACCCCAACUGAUAGACUCACUGCUUGAGUGUCAUCACUAAAUGGUCCUGAACUUGACCAGUGGACUUUCAGUUAACUGUGAGUGGACUCUGUUUACACAAUGGUGAUUUCACCUAAUUAUGGCAUGGUUUAAAAUUCUAUGAGAACCAGACCACACAUUCUUCUGCUCUUAGGCUGUGUUGUUUUCAGAGAUGCUAACCUGUUAGUGAUUAACCAAGAUUAGGGUCUUGGACGCUUGUGGUUAUCAGAAAGCUUUCCCUGAGGAUGUCUACAGUUCAAGGAGAAUUUCUGCAUUUAUGUCUAGGAGGGAUGCUCUAAAACCAUAUUGAGUUUAUGUAAAGACAUAUUUGUUUUGUGAAUGUUUAGCGAUGCCGUUGGAUGAUUGAAAUGAAAAAUUUGACACUAAAGGGACGUAGUCUGGACUUAAAAUGCCAGACUGUUGUUCUUUUCAGCCUUAAUGGGAUAAGAAGUAAAUUAGCGUAUUUACAGAAAAAAAAUUCUAUGUGAUCUUGUAGCUUUGAAAUAACUAUGCAAAGAAGCAGGAUGUACAGUAUGUAUGAAGAAAUUCAGUUGCUAGCUGUGUUCAUUCUUGUCUUUCUGCUUCUAAAAUGCAUCUUUGUAAUAUUUUCCACUUUUUAAUUUCCUGCUCUAUUUCCUAUCGCAAAUUCUGUGAACUAUUUUGAUUUGUUGUGUUUUCCCAUUACAUAUAGUAAUUAACAAGUCUUUGUCAAAUAUAAAAAGUAGUGAAUGAAAAAAAUCAAUGGUAGAGCUGAGGUUCAAAUCAGAAUCUAAAUGUUGCCUUUUCUGUUCUUUAAGCACUCAUCUAAACCUUUCUAAACAUUAUUUUGAGGAUAAAUGAUAAAAAUAACAAAAUAAUGCAUAGUAUUUCAGACAGUGAAAUGUUUGUGAUCUUUUUAAAUAUUUUUUCUCACAAUUUUUUAAUAGCACAGAAGUUGAUAAGACCCAAACUGUAACAAGAAGGAGUAACCAGUUUGUAUUGAUUUGUAGGCUUACUCACUUUUUCUCCAUAUCAUCAAUUUUCUACAUGAAGCUUAAAUAUGGAAUUUCUGGUUUCCUCUUUGCAAUGUUUCUUAGAGGCCCUGGGGAUUCACAGCAGAUCUGUUCCUCUGACUCACAUGCAUUGGAGGCAAUGUAUAUCCUCAUCUCUGUUCGCUAUCUGGUUAAAUCUUUCCGUCUAUCACCUCUUGCUGAGAGAGCAUCUCAACCUAACUAAUGUCUAUGUUAAUUAAUAUUUGCCAAAAAAAAAAAUCUGAUGUAUCUGUUUAUAUUUACAUGAAAAUAGGAUGAGGUUUGAUAAUAAGCCCAAUUAUGAGUGGAAGUAUAAUAUAUUAGACAUAAAAGAAAAGAAUAGAAUCAAAUGGUAGUCUCCACUAUCUCCCUUGAGUUUAUACAGGAGACAUCAGUAAUUAAUAAAGCCACUCAGAAUCCUUCUUGACACAGUGUUCUUGGCAAUGCUUACCAGUUGAUUGGAAGGGGCAGGUAGAUUGAAACCUAUUUGCCAUCUUUAUUUCCAUCUAUGGUAUAGGUUCAGUUAAAUCAUACGAAAAUAUCUGCUUUCUUACCUGGCUUUUAGCAAAAGCUUUGGAACUAAUUGUAGGGGAAGUAUGUGGGAAAGAAGGUAAGAUAAAACUGUAAUUUGCCACCUGCUGUUAGUUGAACACUUUGGCCGUAAAUUCAUGUCUUUGGUGUUUUUGUGUGUUUAUGUAUAAUAUUAUUCUCUUUAUGCUUCAUACAGGUCAGAAUAUUGACUUAGGAAAUAAAGUCUCAACUGUUUUUGCAUUUCUAACAUACUGGUCUAUCUCUGAUGAUGAGCAUUUAGAGAACUGAGUUCAUCAGGAGUCAUUACAAGUGAUGGGUAACCUAAGGUGGUUGUUAACAGUAUGGAUAUUAUGCAUAUGGACCACCCAGGUAUAAGAACAGAUUAUUAUUACUAGAAACAAACUAAUUCUUUCUUUUCUUUAAGAUUUUUUUUUUUUAAAAUGUGGACCAUUUCUGAAGUCUUCAUUGAAUUUGUUACAUUAUUGCUUCUGAUUUAUGUUUUGACUUUUUGGCCGUGAGGCAUGUGGGGUCUUAGCUCCCAAUCAGAGUUUGAACCCACUUCCCCUGUAUUGGAAGGUCAAGUCUUAACCAAUGGACCACUAGGGAAGUCCCUAGAGAGAAACUAAUUCUUAAGAAAAGAAUGCUCAAACUGAUUCCAGCCUCCCUUGCAAUCCUUUCUGGACAUUCAGAAUCAAUUUGGGGAAAUUUCUGUGAAGCUUAGAGUUUUGACAGUGUUAUUCAGAAUUUUCAAUUACCUUCUUGAAGACAAGACAAAGAAAGAUGUCGGUUCAUUCAUAAAUAUUUAAUCAUAUUUAGUAUGGCUCUAAGUUAUGGUUUUAAAAAUAAUUGGCAAUGACUUAAAAGAAUGGAAAACACUAUAUGGGAGUACAUAUAUAUUUCAUCUUUUGCUGUUUAUGAUAUGUGGUUUCAGACAAUUUUGGCAGAAACAGUUUUUUACCUUACUUUAGCUGCAAACCUUAGGCAGUGUAAUCUAAGAAAGUGAAGCCUCUACAGCAACGUAUAUAAUUCUUUAUCCUAAAUUAACAUGGUUGAUCUACCACCAUUAGUGCUUCUCCAUUUAGCAUUGUCACAGCCACUUGAAAAGGUUUCUGGGUUUAUUUUCAUUUUCAUGUGGUAUGUAUGUGCAUGUACACAUGUGCAUGUGAGUGAUUACAUGCCCACAUGUACAUUCUUUAGGGUUGCAAACAGGGGCUAUAGAUUCCAUUAAGAAUAAUAUUGGUCUUUUUCUUCUGUGUUGACAUAAACUGUGUGUGUAUCCCCAGAUUAACAACAUAGAAUAACCACACUUGGGGCCUUCUUUGGAAUUAAGUUGGACUAACAGUUUCUUUCAUCUUUUAUCUUGUUUUCCCUUACCUGGUUUGCAGUUUGGAAUGGUACCCUCUGCCUUUGGUGUAAGACUCAACCUUAUAAAACCUCCUAACCUAUUUGCUUUAGUAGUGCCACCAGGCAUAUACCCAGUUAAAUAACUCUGUGUUCCUGCCUCCAUUAGCAGUUCACUUAUUCCUAAAAAUAUUUGUAUUGCAUUAGUAAUACUUGUUUCAAAAACUAAUAAGAAACAGAUAGCCAAAAGAAAAAUAAGAUACACUAUUAAUAAUUUCAAAAUGUGCUGCUUCUCUCAGCCAUGUCCUGUCUCUUUCCACCUAUGUUUUUUGCUUUUCCAGCUCUCUGCCUGUCUUUCUUCAUUUUUGUCUGUCUUAUUUGUUUCCUGUUCCUCUUUAUGUCUCUGGAUCUUCAAUUCUUUGCCCUAGUCACUCCUAGUUUCUGUUUCUAUCUAGCACAUUUUUAAGUAAAAAAAAAAAAAAAGUAAAAAACAUCGUUCUAUAAGUUGGUGGUUAAGGCUUUGAAUUUUUGAUAUAUUGUUAUUGAUUUUUGGCUGUGCUUCUUGUAACUUUGAAAAAUUUUUUCACCUACAUAAGUCUCUUAUUUUUGCAUUGGUAAAAUGCCAUUAGGAUUAAGGCAUUUAGGAAAUGUGAACAGUUAGUCUUAGGGACUUACUUGUUUGUAUUUCUUUACAUACUUUCCUGAUUAUUUUAUGGUAAAUUUCUAGGAUGUGAAUUGCUUCAUUAUAUGGCAUGCAUUUUUAAACACAUAUUUCCAAAUUGCCCUCCAGGUAGGUUGGGUCUAUUAAUAUUGCACAAGUAAUUUUGGAGAAUGUUCAUACCCUAACCAACAGUUGUGGGUUAUUAUUCUUUUAAAAAUUUCCUAAUAAUAAAUGAAGAUAUUUAUUGCUAUUUUACUUUUAAUAAUAGUGAGGUCAGAUUUUCUUUAUAUGCUUUAAUGAAUUGUAUGCUCAUAUACUUUGCACACUUUUUCAUUUAGGUGUUCAGUUUUUUUUUCCUUAUUGAUGUUUUAGAGCUCUUUGUAUAUUAAGAAUACUAGCUCUUUAUAGUAUGUAUUGUAAAUAUUUUCCCAGUUUUUUUGCUUGCAUGUAAUUUAAUUAUGGGGUGUUUUUAUGCAUGGGUGUUUUAGUUGUUACCUUUAUGAAUCAUUAGUCUUUUAUCAUUUCUACCUUUUUAGAUCUAAGUAUUAGGACAUAUUUUCCUUUUUCUGAGAAACUCAUAUUGCUUGCCCCCUUUUGACUUUCAGUCAAUUCUUCAUUAACAUGGGUUAUAAGGAAGAGCAGGCUGCCAUAGAGAAUAUAAAAUCUUGGUUAAACAUUAUACUCAAUACAUGUUACAAAAUGGAUUACAUGCAAACUUAUUUAUUGAAAGUUAAACCUAGUAUUUGUGCAUUUGUUUGGCAUUCUAUUAAGUAACACAAAGUAUUAUAUAAAUUGCUUGAAGGAAAGUAUGUAGAAAUAGUCUGUUGUUACUUGUUAUUAGUUAUAUUUGCUUAUAAUCAUCAGUAUAGAGCCAUUGUACCUUUAGUCUCUCUUUGAGCAAGUGUCAUUUAUUACAUAAAUAAACUGGACCCUAGAGAGUCUGCAGUUAAGCUUAGCUUUAUUAAUAAUCUCACUUUUGUGGGCUAGUAGUGGAAAAGACCGUGAUGCUGGGAAAGACUGAAGUCAAAAGAAGAAGGGGCAGCAGAGGAUGAGAUGGUUAGGUAGCAUCACCAGUUCAAUGGACAUAAAUCUGAGCAAGCUCCGGGAGAUGGUGAAGGACAGGGAAGCCUGGCAUGUUGCAGUCCAUGGGUUGCAAAGAGUUGGACAUGACUUAGUGACUGAGCAACAACAACAGGUGGAACACAGCUCAUUCUCUUCUCUCUGUCACUUGACCUCACAGCACUGUUCCAGCCUUCAGAGGCCACACCCUAGUGUUAUUUCCAUCAGUUUACUUCUUAUGAGUUCAGUGUCAUUAUCAGGAUUAAGUUAGGCUGCUAGAAGGUAUAUCAGUGUCAAAUCAUUUCAAAGAAGAAUUUUCCUUUCGUGGUGUAUGUUCAUUUAGAUGUGAUUGUCUUCAUAUGCAGUCAUGGCAUUGUUUCUUUGAAGGCCAAUGUGGGAGGAUGUCAUGUCAUUUUCUUCUUUUACUUAUUUUAUUUGUCUUAAUGAACAGCCUGAGAUCCAUGAGAAUUUAAUGUUCUUCAUUUAAAUCAUAAAUUACUAUUUUAUAUUAUAGAGUAAUUUGUAUAGUAUCUCCCCUACCCAACUCUUGAAUGACUUCACUUCUCAAAAUGUAAAGCAUCACAUAUUUCCACCUCUGCUCAACCCACGUUUUCAGUACUAGGUUAUUUAUCUGGUUUCAGGAGCAAAAACCAGAAAGGGCCAGGAUUGGAGUUGGAAUGGGUGGGUGGGUAGAGAGAGGCUCCUACAUGGCAGAUGCAACAAUGUAGCUCUUGUUGAUUAUUAAUAAAAUUUCUAAAAAUAGGUGCCUGACAAAUAUUUAUUCUUAAUUUGUGUUCAUUUUAAUUCCAUGCAUGCAUAUCACUAUAACAUCUAUUAACAUUUUUUUAAAUGGUCAAAUUGCUUGCAUUUCAAACCAUUCCUCUAUGCUAUCUCCACCCUCUUGCUCACCACAUCAGAACUGGAGUAUAUAUUACUGUGAAUGUUGUUUUGCUUCCAGGAAGCCCAGAUUCAGAUUUACUGUUCAGCUAUAGCAACUGUAUAGGUCCUCACUGCAUGCUUAUUUCUGAUCUCCUUUUCUUUUUUUCACUCAACAAAUAUGCUUUCUUGUAUCCUUUGUGAAAAGAGGCAGGGUAUAAAUUGCCAAAUUUUAAAAAAAUGGUUAUUAUGUCUAUUAUAUAUCCCCAAAUUAAUAUCAUAUUUUCCUCUGCAUUUACUUAAUUGACCACAGCUUGGCUUAUUUUUUCAAUAAUGAUGAAGGAAUUUACCAUGAGAUAUCCAUACUUAAUCAAUACACAUUAUGGCCAACUCUUAACUCAGGAACACGAAGAGCUGUCAAGCAGGGGUUUCCAGGCAGUAAUUUAUCCCUCCUGCAAACCUUAUUCAAUGACAUUACACACAAGAGGCAACAGUCUGGGCACCAACGAUACAACAGCAUACACAACCACCUCUGUUCUUACAGUCUGAAGUGGAAGCCAGAGCUCCCCCCCCCC